This 1515-nucleotide small RNA is filed under the name Cryptococcus neoformans H99. RNAcentral's name for it is "Cryptococcus neoformans var. grubii H99 hypothetical RNA". Lineage: Eukaryota; Fungi; Basidiomycota; Tremellomycetes; Tremellales; Cryptococcaceae. The record is from RNAcentral.
ACCUACUUCCAAGCAAAAUAACGGUAGUAAGAAUCUACCAACACCUCUGCAUCCGCUCUUGGGGGUAAUCUCUCAAACAAUGCUUCCAGCGUCGAUAUUUCUCCAGAUUCAUUAAACGGAAAGGAGUAAACUGGGUCUUCGUAUGCUCCUCCACUUUCUCUUCCAUGAUAAACACCUUCCUCUCCUGCCUUUUCCCCUCUUCCUCCUGCAGGACCUCGAUUCCCAGGACUGGUGGUAUCCACAGGUGAACGAGAGUGUGAAGGCGUCUCCAUACCGAUCCCACCGACUUCUUGGUUUUUGAGCCAUUCAGUGCCGGCCGUGGGGCCCAAGUACCGAGAACGACCGGAUUUACCGAGGACGAGGGUGCCGUGGGAGUGUUCGACAGGAGAUCCGGCAGGGAUGGUUGUGCCGGCGGAGGUGGAAGUGCUGAACGAGGAGAUGGGGGGAAGAUGGAGUUGCGAAGGAUGAGAAUGCAGAUGGGAUUGGGAUGGGGUUUGAUGAAGGGCCUGGGCUUGGGUUUGGGUUUGCGGAGGGAUAGAAGGGUUACUAUUAUGGCUAUGGCUCGAUGAAGAUAGCGGGGGGUUGUAGGAAAAUGGGUUGUCACGAGGCGGAGCAGGCGAAUCGUACAGAUACCGAGGAGGCUGCUGGUGCUCACCUAUCGAAUGAGAUCGGCGGGCCGGCGACCUGCUUCGCCGAUGAUUAGACUGGGUAGAUUGAAAAGGGGAUGUUGGUGAAUCUCUGUUUGGUCGCCAGUCCUCGCUGCCGCCAACAUUCCCUCCUCCUCCUAUCAUGGAACCACGGCGCAUGGUGGGAGGGUUGGAAUCCAUCCUUGAUCUGGAAGAUGAAGAUAAUCGGGGGUAGACUGCACUGUUAUCGUCGUCGACUUCGAAACCAUGUUCUGUGAGGAAACCUUCAAGGGUGGAUAACCGUUUUUGAAGUGCCUCAGCAGUUUUGGCGUCAAGUCCACUAUAUACAUUUCUUUUACGCCAUCUGGACAAAGCUCUCUACAUCCUCUGCGGACGCAGUUUGAGCACGGUAUAUCUCUAUCACACUUUAGUUUUAACCUCCUGCACUCUACACAGAAUCCCAUCAGUAUGGAUUGGCAUGCGGAAGGAUUGAAGGGGAGGAACUUGCCGGCGCAACUGAGCUGUUGUUUGGACCUCUUCUUUGAUUGUUGGUCGGCGGGUUGUGGAUCGGUGGAAGGCGGUUGUGACUGAGAAUGUGGAAGGCCGGCUUCGGAAUUGUCCGAUGAGGCCAUUAUAGGAGACCUGGCGGGGUGAAAAAAGGAAAGUGCAGCGUGUAGGGAGAUAUAUCGAAGAGACGAAAAGACAACAAGCAGCCCGAAAGCGGAGAAGGCGGCGGCGGGGUGCAGCGAAUGGGCUAUGGACAAAUUGCGGUAUUACAAAAUAGAUAAGUAGAGAUUACAAUACUUUUACAAAUUGAUUAUAACUGAGCCGCAAUCCAGUAAAUGAAAAGUUUACGGGUGUUCCGGUCCGGAGAUUAUUACAAGUGUAA